GAUGAACGCUGGCGGCGUGCUUAACACAUGCAAGUCGAACGGAAAGGCUCCUGCUUGCAGGGGUACUCGAGUGGCGAACGGGUGAGUAACACGUGGGUGAUCUGCCCUGCACUUCGGGAUAAGCCUGGGAAACUGGGUCUAAUACCGGAUAGGACCACAUUUUGGAUGGUGUGGUGGAAAGUUUUUCGGUGUGGGAUGAGCUCGCGGCCUAUCAGCUUGUUGGUGGGGUAAUGGCCUACCAAGGCGUCGACGGGUAGCCGGCCUGAGAGGGUGUACGGCCACAUUGGGCCUGGGCUACGGCCCAGACUCCUACGGGAGGCAGCAGUGGGGAAUAUUGCACAAUGGGCGCAAGCCUGAUGCAGCGACGCCGCGUGGGGGAUGACGGCCUUCGGGUUGUAAACUCCUUUCGCUAGGGACGAAGCGCAAGUGACGGUACCUGGAGAAGAAGCACCGGCUAACUACGUG
Molecule: ribosomal RNA, 465 nt
Filed under: uncultured bacterium
Lineage: Bacteria
Description: partial 16S ribosomal RNA
Rfam family: Bacterial small subunit ribosomal RNA
Source: RNAcentral